GAAUUUUAAAGUAUAUUUAUCAUAUGCAUUUAAGUAAUCUUCAUAUCAGGAGCAGCAGCAUAGGUUAGGAACCCUGCCCAUUGGGAUGCUGUUCUCUAGUGUUCAACAGCAAGUUGGGGCUCCAAGGCAUCGAAAUAUAUAAUUGAAGGGAUCUGUGAUACUGAUUUGAUCAUAGAUCUGAAGGGAAGUGCGUUUGGCGCAACUCCAGAAAACUAUCACAGGAAAUCAAUAUUCCGAUUCUUUUGCGUUUCUUUCGUUUCCGAAACGGACUUCUUUGAAUCGAGAUAUUCAAAAUUUAUAAAAUAUUACGAUUUUAAGGGGCCAUGUCAGAAAUUCAUUCCCCGAAAAUCGAGAGAUAUCUAUUUUUACGGUCAGUUCAAAAGAUUUGACCCCAAUAAAGUUAUAUUUAACGAUUGUCGGGAUAAUUUGCUACUUGUCGUUCUAGCAUCUGCGUGGAUAAAGACACCGUUUGCAUUUUACGGAACACCAAGUGGAUGCACUAGGUGUUUUCGUUCUAUGUCUGGUGAGCAGGAGGGCUGAUAACUUUGACGUAGACUGGAAUAGCGCGACAUCAGCCAACUUGCUGUGAUAUAAGCCAAAGGACCUCAUAGUAUUGGCAGCUUUUGGCGUUUGUUAGAUCACGUGCUGUGGAUCACGUUAGCUAUCCUGUGUGGAUGACUCUACUGCUGCCACGUUCUCCAGAUUGCUGGUAUUCACAGCUAGACUAACAAAUUAAGGACUACAAUGAUCUCCUAUACCUCCACGACUGACACAGGAAAUUUUUCCAGGAUCAACCUUUAAUUAGGCCAGAUAUACUUAUUUUAUGUUUGAAUAAGCUAAAAUUAUAAUUAUUGAUCAAUUUUUAUAAUUUUAAUACAUAAAA
Non-coding RNA from Drosophila virilis, 883 nucleotides. NCBI's taxonomy places the organism in Eukaryota, Metazoa, Arthropoda, Insecta, Diptera, Drosophilidae. The record is from RefSeq and is a predicted model, not a curated record.